RNAcentral lists this ribosomal RNA (365 nucleotides) under Schizochytrium aggregatum. RNAcentral describes it as "partial Bacterial large subunit ribosomal RNA". It matches the Rfam family "Bacterial large subunit ribosomal RNA", at positions 2422 to 2786 of the family's 2925-position model. The record is from RNAcentral. Lineage: Eukaryota; Bigyra; Thraustochytrida; Thraustochytriidae.
GGCGAUCCCGUGUGGGUGGGUCGUCGCUCAACGGAUAAAAGGUACCCCGGGGAUAACAGGCUGAUCUUCCCCAAGAGUCCAUAUCGACGGGAUGGUUUGGCACCUCGAUGUCGGCUCGUCGCAUCCUGGGGCUGGAGUAGGUCCCAAGGGUUGGGCUGUUCGCCCAUUAAAGCGGUACGCGAGCUGGGUUUAGAACGUCGUGAGACAGUUCGGUCCCUAUCUGCCGUGGACGUUUGAGAUUUGAGAGGGGCUGCUCCUAGUACGAGAGGACCGGAGUGGACGAACCUCUGGUGUUCCGGUUGUCACGCCAGUGGCAUUGCCGGGUAGCUAUGUUCGGAAGAGAUAACCGCUGAAAGCAUCUAAGC